Molecule: ribosomal RNA, 301 nt
Filed under: uncultured bacterium
Lineage: Bacteria
Description: partial 16S ribosomal RNA
Rfam family: Bacterial small subunit ribosomal RNA
Source: RNAcentral
CAGUAGCCGCGGGAACACGUAGGGUGCGAGCGUUAAUCGGAAUUACUGGGCGUAAAGCGUGCGCAGGCGGUUUUGUAAGACAGGCGUGAAAUCCCCGGGCUCAACCUGGGAAUGGCGCUUGUGACUGCAAAGCUAGAGUGCGGCAGAGGGGGAUGGAACUCCGCGUGUAGCAGUGAAAUGCGUAGAUAUGCGGAGGAACACCGAUGGCGAAGGCAAUCCCCUGGGCCUGCACUGACGCUCAUGCACGAAAGCGUGGGGAGCAAACAGGAUUAGAUACCCCAGUAGUCCCUGUCCUUAUACA